Molecule: ribosomal RNA, 496 nt
Filed under: uncultured bacterium
Lineage: Bacteria
Description: partial 16S ribosomal RNA
Rfam family: Bacterial small subunit ribosomal RNA
Source: RNAcentral
AUGAACGCUGGCGGCGUGCCUAAUACAUGCAAGUCGAGCGAACAGAUGAGGAGCUUGCUCCUCUGACGUUAGCGGCGGACGGGUGAGUAACACGUGGAUAACCUACCUAUAAGACUGGGAUAACUUCGGGAAACCGGAGCUAAUACCGGAUAAUAUAUUGAACCGCAUGGUUCAAUAGUGAAAGACGGUUUUGCUGUCACUUAUAGAUGGAUCCGCGCCGCAUUAGCUAGUUGGUAAGGUAACGGCUUACCAAGGCAACGAUGCGUAGCCGACCUGAGAGGGUGAUCGGCCACACUGGAACUGAGACACGGUCCAGACUCCUACGGGAGGCAGCAGUAGGGAAUCUUCCGCAAUGGGCGAAAGCCUGACGGAGCAACGCCGCGUGAGUGAUGAAGGUCUUCGGAUCGUAAAACUCUGUUAUUAGGGAAGAACAAAUGUGUAAGUAACUAUGCACGUCUUGACGGUACCUAAUCAGAAAGCCACGGCCAACUACGUG